Molecule: non-coding RNA, 1204 nt
Organism: Pelobates cultripes (western spadefoot toad)
Lineage: Eukaryota; Metazoa; Chordata; Amphibia; Anura; Pelobatidae
Source: the annotation of a GenBank genome assembly
CUCAUGUCUUUGUACAGAACACUGGUGAGACCUCCCUUAUUAGUAUUGUACACAGUACUGGAGACCAUAUCUCCAGUGGGAUAUUGAUACUUUAGAGAGAGUUCGGAGAAGGGCUACUAAACUGGUUCAUGGAUUGCAUGAUAAAACUUACAAGGAAAGGUUAAAGGAACUUGUAUAGCUUGAAGGAAAGACGAGACAGGGGGAUAUGAUAGAAACAUUGAAAUACAUAAAGGUAAUCAAUACAGUAAAGGAGGAGACUACCACAACAAGAGGACAUAGUCUUAAAUUAAGGUUAAAAAAAAAUAUCAGGAAGUAUUACUUUACUGCAAGGGUAGUUGAUGCAUGGAAUAGCCUUCCAGCUGAAGUGGUAGAGGUUAACACAGUAAAGGAGUUUAAGUAUGCAUGGGAUAGGCAUAAGGCUAUCCUAACUAUAAGAUAAGGCCAGGGACUAAUGAAAGUAUUUAGAAAAUUGGGCAGACUAGAUGGGCCAAAUGGUUCUUAUCUGCCGUUACAUUCUGUUUCCAUUUACACAAUACCACACCACAAUCAGCUCACUCUACACACGCGCAAUCCCACAAGCAGGCUCCAAACACAUGCACCAUACGCUUUCCUGGCCCUUUUGUCCUCUGGUAUCCCACUCAUGGAGACACCAGAGACAAGUUAAAAGCAAACACAGUGCAAGCAUGUUAUUACAUUUGCUUGCGCUGUGCAGAAUAAAUGCAGGGCCUUUUUCUCAUACUAGAGUUUUUCAGCUGGGCUCUGCGCAUUGAACCAACAUGCUCACUUUGAGAGGGGGUGUGCUUGUCAUUAGUGAUGACAAAACACACCCUCUCUGGCCCCGCCCCCUUCUCAGGGGACCACUGUGAUUGAAAAAUGCCAGAGCCAAAAAAUGUUCCUAGUCCAGCCCUGAUGGAAAGUGUAUAAAAAUCCUCUUCAGAUAAACAAUGGACAUUAUGGACAUUGUUAGUAAGGUCUUUGAAGCGUGCCAGAGUAUUACAAAGUCCAAAUGGCAUUAAAGUGGCACUGUCAUGCCGAACUUACCUUUCCUCAAUCUCUUCCUCUCCCCCCCCCCUCUCAGGAUCUGUUCUUCUUUUCUUCCUGUCUUCUUUAGUUUUCUUUAAAAUCAUAAGACAAAGUAGGGACUCUUUGCCUUAUGGAGGAUUCCUCCGCUUGACCAGCUCUAACCAGCGGAGGAGCAAAGUGU